Molecule: ribosomal RNA, 484 nt
Filed under: uncultured bacterium
Lineage: Bacteria
Description: partial 16S ribosomal RNA
Rfam family: Bacterial small subunit ribosomal RNA
Source: RNAcentral
AUUGAACGCUGGCGGCAGGCCUAACACAUGCAAGUCGAGCGGAAGCACAGUGCUUGCUCGUGGAUUCAGCGGCGGACGGGUGAGUAAUGCCUGGGAAUAUGCCUGGUUGUGGGGGAUAACGUCCGGACACGGGCGCUAAUACCGCAAAAGUCCUGAGGGCGUAAGUGGGGGAGCUUCGGACCUUACGCCCUCAGAUGAGCCGAGGUCGGAUUAGCUAGUUGGUGGGGUAAAGGCCUACCAAGGCGACGAUCCGUAACUGGUCUGAGAGGAUGAUCAGUCACACUGGAACUGAGACACGGUCCAGACUCCUACGGGAGGCAGCAGUGGGGAAUAUUGGACAAUGGGCGAAAGCCUGAUCCAGCCAUACCGCGUGUGUGAAGAAGGUCUUCGGAUUGUAAAGCACUUUUAGUGGGGAAGAAGAGCAGUAAGUUAAUACCUUGCUGUUUUGACGGUACCAACAGAAUAAGCACCGGCUAACUUCGUG